RNAcentral lists this ribosomal RNA (468 nucleotides) under uncultured bacterium. RNAcentral's name for it is "partial 16S ribosomal RNA". It matches the Rfam family "Bacterial small subunit ribosomal RNA", at positions 28 to 507 of the family's 1533-position model. The record is from RNAcentral.
GACGAACGCUGGCGGCGUGCUUAACACAUGCAAGUCGAACGGAAAGGCCCUGCUUUUGUGGGGUGCUCGAGUGGCGAACGGGUGAGUAACACGUGAGUAACCUGCCCUUGACUUUGGGAUAACUUCAGGAAACUGGGGCUCAUACCGGAUAGGAGCUCCUGCUGCAUGGUGGGGGUUGGAAAGUUUCGGCGGUUGGGGAUGGACUCGCGGCUUAUCAGCUUGUUGGUGGGGUAGUGGCUUACCAAGGCUUUGACGGGUAGCCGGCCUGAGAGGGUGACCGGCCACAUUGGGACUGAGAUACGGCCCAGACUCCUACGGGCGGCAGCAGUGGGGAAUAUUGCACAAUGGGCGGAAGCCUGAUGCAGCAACGCCGCGUGCGGGAUGACGGCCUUCGGGUUGUAAACCGAUUUCGCCUGUGACGAAGCGUGAGUGACGGUAAUGGGUAAAGAAGCACCGGCUAACUACGUG